UAAACAAAUCCUGACAAUAUUAGGACUUUCCAAGUCUUAAAUAUAUUAGGACUCAAAAGCAUUAUGACUCUCUAAGUCUUAACCUAGUUAGGACUCUCUAAGUCUUAACCUAGUAAGGACUCUCUUAAGUCCUAACUGCAUUAAAACUCUCUUAAGUCCUAACCUAGUUAGGACUCCACCCCUUCCAUAACGAUAAAAGGAGGAGAGCCCCAUCCAAAGCAUCCCCCAAAGCAACCAAGAAGCCAUCAGUAAAGAGCCCAGUCAGCCCUAGUUUUUCCUGCCUUAGAGCAGUGAAGAACAGCGAGAAGAGAAGGGAAGAAUUCUAUGCAGUGCAGCCAGUUCCUCUCAGCCGUAGCCUUCUUCUGCAAGUUCCAGCAGCCCAAAGCUCCACCCCAAAGCUUCAUACAGCUGCUGUGAGAAGUCCUCAAUGCCUUCUGUCUACUGUUUAAACCUCAGGAGGAGGUUCCUGCAGUGAAGAGGUGAGACCAAAAACGACAGUGACCGCAACCUACCGGGGGUGCUGUCUAAAGACAACCUGCAUUCUCACGCACCCAUAAACUUACUAUCACGUUUUUUAUUCCAUUGUUUCAAGCCUCGUAGUUAGUACUUUGACUUUACAAACAAUAGAGGUUGUUUUCUUUCAGUUUUUACGCUUGGUCUUUUUACCAUAGUUCUCUCCCUCGCCAAACUUCCAUUUGAAAGUAUCGAGUCGACAGAUUGUCGAACCCAAACCCCAUACGGAUCGAUCCAUAGCUUGCUCUACUAAAGGCAACUUGACAUUUCCCUGAAUUCCUCAGCCCUUUUUCCUAUGCUUCUAAUGUUGGGGCCAACCCAAAGUAAUUUUUGACCUGGCAUGCUCAUAAAGAAGUGUUGAUUUUUGAAGGGAAGAGAGAUGUAGCCUGAAAAGAAGUGAUAGAUCGUCAAGGUUGAGAAUCAAUGAUGUCUGUUAUUUAUGACUAGAAACUCGGCAAAUACACCAACUGAACUACAUUUCUAUUUAGUGUAAGCUUUGAUAAA
RNAcentral lists this long non-coding RNA (1017 nucleotides) under Musa acuminata (dwarf banana). Its description in RNAcentral is "long non-coding RNA (MACU_LNC000971)". Lineage: Eukaryota; Viridiplantae; Streptophyta; Magnoliopsida; Zingiberales; Musaceae. The record is from RNAcentral.